RNAcentral lists this long non-coding RNA (809 nucleotides) under Numida meleagris (helmeted guineafowl). Its description in RNAcentral is "lncRNA (ENSNMEG00000018504.1)". The record is from RNAcentral. Lineage: Eukaryota; Metazoa; Chordata; Aves; Galliformes; Numididae.
UAUUUUUGGUCAAAGCCUCUUCAGGGAACUUCUGCUGCUCAUCCAGGUUGGGUCAGGAAAGAGCCCAGUCAACACAUCUGCACUUCUGCCCUAUGGCUCUGCCUGGGAGACAAUCAAAUGAGAGGGAUUGGGUAUUCAUCUAGUUUAAUAACUCCUAAUCUCCCUAGGGGAACAAAGUAUAAGAGGAAAGGGAUCAGCUAAUUAUAGUUAAUUGUAUUAGCCUAAAGAGAGUGAUUAACAUAAUUAAGAUAGCCUUGUGACUAGUAGCUCUAUGGCAGAAAUGUGCUCUUGGAUGCAGUAGGUGAAAAUCAGAUUUAAAAGAAGUAUGGGCUAAAGAAACCUAACGUCUUAAACAGAUUUUUUUUUUCCAAAUGUGGCAGUAAAAGUGCACAAGAUUGCUGUAAACAUCAAAUGGCCAUAAGCGAGGCACAUUUUGCAGAAAGAAAAAAGGUUAAUGUACUGGAAAAUUUACAGUGUGUGAGCAAUGUGAGAGAGGUAAGCAUACGUGUGUUGUCUGGUAACAGAGCGUUUGGCCCAGGAAACAGCUACUGGUGUACCAAAGGAAGACAAGACAAAACUUGACACUAAGACAGUACUUUCAUUGAAAACACAAGAGAAAAUCUACAAAAUAUGAGAUGCUAUAAGAAUGAAGAAGGUGAUGCCAUGUGAAAGGAUUCCCCAAUGCACUGGAGAAAGGCUUACAAAUAUUUGUAGAAUCCAAGAAAGAAUAUUCCAUUAAUUACUCCUGUUUUAUAUAUGGAAGUAAAAUUUGGAAAUAAAGGAACCUAAAAUGAUAUUUGAAUAUUGCA